ACCUUACCCACCUUUGACAUGUACGGAAGUUGCCAGCAGAUGGCUUCGUGCUCGAAAGAGAGCCGUAACACAGGUGCUGCAUGGCUGUCGUCAGCUCGUGUCGUGAGAUGUUGGGUUAAGUCCCGCAACGAGCGCAACCCUUGCCAUUAGUUGCUACGAAAGGGCACUCUAAUGGGACUGCCGGUGACAAACCGGAGGAAGGUGGGGAUGACGUCAAGUCCUCAUGGCCCUUAUAGGUGGGGCUACACACGUCAUACAAUGGCUGGUACAGAGGGUUGCCAACCCGCGAGGGGGAGCUAAUCUCAUAAAACCAGUCGUAGUCCGGAUCGCAGUCUGCAACUCGACUGCGUGAAGUCGGAAUCGCUAGUAAUCGCGGAUCAGCUUGCCGCGGUGAAUACGUUCCCGGGCA
This 409-nucleotide ribosomal RNA is filed under the name Aquaspirillum sp. GS. Its description in RNAcentral is "bacterial SSU rRNA". It matches the Rfam family "Bacterial small subunit ribosomal RNA", at positions 968 to 1379 of the family's 1533-position model. The record is from RNAcentral. Lineage: Bacteria; Pseudomonadati; Pseudomonadota; Betaproteobacteria; Neisseriales; Aquaspirillaceae.